AUGAUUCAUAUUCAUCAAAAGAAGAAUACAUCUGUUCCUAUGGAGAUUCUAUUACAAGAUCAGGAGCCUCGGAUCACAGGGAAUAAAAAGAAAAAGAGGGCAUAAAUCACUCCUCAGAGGGAUUGCAGGGCGGUCGUCUGUGGGAUGGUAUUUCUCAACACUGAUAAUGCCCUCGAUCUGGACGGCUACGUUAAUCUUGUCCACCUCAUUCCAAAAAUGGGAUGUCAUUAUAAACCUCGAUCAGUUAUCUGACGACACUAUCUGUAAAUCUUUGUCUAAACAAUCAAUUUGAAGAUGCUUGAUGAAGUCUGGAGGAAGGCACAUCUGGGCAAUGGACUUGCACUUCUCGAAGUCUGCAAAGAACGCAGAGAACGCCGCUUUACAAGCUUGGGCUAUGAUCUUAGCC
This 406-nucleotide long non-coding RNA is filed under the name Elaeis guineensis (African oil palm). RNAcentral's name for it is "long non-coding RNA (EGUI_LNC025373)". Lineage: Eukaryota; Viridiplantae; Streptophyta; Magnoliopsida; Arecales; Arecaceae. The record is from RNAcentral.